RNAcentral lists this ribosomal RNA (380 nucleotides) under uncultured Nitrososphaerota archaeon. RNAcentral's name for it is "bacterial SSU rRNA". It matches the Rfam family "Archaeal small subunit ribosomal RNA", at positions 471 to 851 of the family's 1478-position model. The record is from RNAcentral. Lineage: Archaea; Thermoproteati; Nitrososphaerota.
UAAGACCAGCACCUCAAGUGGUCAGGAGGAUUAUUGGGCCUAAAGCAUCCGUAGCCUGCUCUGUAAGUUUUCGGUUAAAUCUAUAUGCUCAACGUAUAGGCCGCCGAAAAUACUGCAGUGCUAGGAAGUGGGAGAGGUAGACGGUACUUGAUAGGAAGGGGUAAAAUCCUUUGAUCUAUCGAUGACCACCUGUGGCGAAGGCGGUCUACCAGAACACGUUCGACGGUGAGGGAUGAAAGCUGGGGGAGCAAACCGGAUUAGAUACCCGGGUAGUCCCAGCUGUAAACGAUGCAGACUCGAUGAUGCAUUGGCAUAUAGCCAGUGCAGUGUCGCAGGGAAGCCGUUAAGUCUGCCGCCUGGGAAGUACGUACGCAAGUAUG